UGGCGGCGUGCCUAAUACAUGCAAGUCGAACGAACUCUGGUAUUGAUUGGUGCUUGCAUCAUGAUUUACAUUUGAGUGAGUGGCGAACUGGUGAGUAACACGUGGGAAACCUGCCCAGAAGCGGGGGAUAACACCUGGAAACAGAUGCUAAUACCGCAUAACAACUUGGACCGCAUGGUCCGAGCUUGAAAGAUGGCUUCGGCUAUCACUUUUGGAUGGUCCCGCGGCGUAUUAGCUAGAUGGUGGGGUAACGGCUCACCAUGGCAAUGAUACGUAGCCGACCUGAGAGGGUAAUCGGCCACAUUGGGACUGAGACACGGCCCAAACUCCUACGGGAGGCAGCAGUAGGGAAUCUUCCACAAUGGACGAAAGUCUGAUGGAGCAACGCCGCGUGAGUGAAGAAGGGUUUCGGCUCGUAAAACUCUGUUGUUAAAGAAGAACAUAUCUGAGAGUAACUGUUCAGGUAUUGACGGUAUUUAACCAGAAAGCCACGGCUAACUACGUGCCAGCAGCCGCGGUAAUACGUAGGUGGCAAGCGUUGUCCGGAUUUAUUGGGCGUAAAGCGAGCGCAGGCGGUUUUUUAAGUCUGAUGUGAAAGCCUUCGGCUCAACCGAAGAAGUGCAUCGGAAACUGGGAAACUUGAGUGCAGAAGAGGACAGUGGAACUCCAUGUGUAGCGGUGAAAUGCGUAGAUAUAUGGAAGAACACCAGUGGCGAAGGCGGCUGUCUGGUCUGUAACUGACGCUGAGGCUCGAAAGUAUGGGUAGCAAACAGGAUUAGAUACCCUGGUAGUCCAUACCGUAAACGAUGAAUGCUAAGUGUUGGAGGGUUUCCGCCCUUCAGUGCUGCAGCUAACGCAUUAAGCAUUCCGCCUGGGGAGUACGGCCGCAAGGCUGAAACUCAAAGGAAUUGACGGGGGCCCGCACAAGCGGUGGAGCAUGUGGUUUAAUUCGAAGCUACGCGAAGAACCUUACCAGGUCUUGACAUACUAUGCAAAUCUAAGAGAUUAGACGUUCCCUUCGGGGACAUGGAUACAGGUGGUGCAUGGUUGUCGUCAGCUCGUGUCGUGAGAUGUUGGGUUAAGUCCCGCAACGAGCGCAACCCUUAUUAUCAGUUGCCAGCAUUAAGUUGGGCACUCUGGUGAGACUGCCGGUGACAAACCGGAGGAAGGUGGGGAUGACGUCAAAUCAUCAUGCCCCUUAUGACCUGGGCUACACACGUGCUACAAUGGAUGGUACAACGAGUUGCGAACUCGCGAGAGUAAGCUAAUCUCUUAAAGCCAUUCUCAGUUCGGAUUGUAGGCUGCAACUCGCCUACAUGAAGUCGGAAUCGCUAGUAAUCGCGGAUCAGCAUGCCGCGGUGAAUACGUUCCCGGGCCUUGUACACACCGCCCGUCACACCAUGAGAGUUUGUAACACCCAAAGUCGGUGGGGUAACCUUUUAGGAACCAGCCGCCUAAGGUGGGACAGAUGAUUAGG
This 1477-nucleotide ribosomal RNA is filed under the name Lactiplantibacillus plantarum. RNAcentral describes it as "Lactobacillus plantarum 16S ribosomal RNA". It matches the Rfam family "Bacterial small subunit ribosomal RNA". The record is from RNAcentral. Lineage: Bacteria; Bacillati; Bacillota; Bacilli; Lactobacillales; Lactobacillaceae.